UGACAUGAGUAGCGUUAAAGGGGGUGAAAAGCCCCCUCGCCGAAAGCGCAAGGUUUCCUACGCAACGUUCAUCGGCGUAGGGUGAGUCGGCCCCUAAGGCGAGGCAGAGAUGCGUAGCUGAUGGGAAACAGGUUAAUAUUCCUGUACCGAUCUAUAGUGCGAUGUGGGGACGGAGAAGGUUAGCUCAGCCAACUGUUGGAUAUGUUGGUCCAAGCAUGUAGGCGUGCUCUUUAGGCAAAUCCGGAGAGCUUAGCUGAGGUGUGAUAACGAGUCUGCUUGCAGACGAAGUGAGUGAUACCCUGCUUCCAGGAAAAGCCACUAAGCUUCAGCUAUAGAUUGACCGUACCGCAAACCGACACUGGUGCGCGAGAUGAGUAUUCUAAGGCGCUUGAGAGAACUCUGGAGAAGGAACUCGGCAAAUUGACACCGUAACUUCGGAAGAAGGUGUGCCUUUAGUAGGUGAACCAUUUACUUGGGGAGCCCAAUGAGGUCGCAGAGAAUCGGUGGCUGCAACUGUUUGAUAAAAACACAGCACUCUGCAAAGACGAAAGUCGACGUAUAGGGUGUGACGCCUGCCCGGUGCUGGAAGAUUAAUUGAUGGGGUGCAAGCUCUUGAUCGAAGUCCCAGUAAACGGCGGCCGUAACAAUAACGGUCCUAAGGUAGCGAAAUUCCUUGUCGGGUAAGUUCCGACCUGCACGAAUGGCGUAAUGAUGGCCACACUGUCUCCUCCAGAGACUCAGCGAAGUUGAAAUGUUUGUGAUGAUGCAAUCUCCCCGCGGAAAGACGGAAAGACCCCAUGAACCUUUACUGUAGCUUUACAUUGGACUUUGAACAGAUCUGUGUAAGAUAGGUGGGAGGCUUUGAAGCCAGGACGCUAGUUCUGGUGGAGCCAACGUUGAAAUACCACCCUGGUGUGUUUGAGGUUCUAACCUUGGCCCGUUAUCCGGGUUGGGGACAGUGUAUGGUGGGCAGUUUGACUGGGGCGGUCUCCUCCCAAAGUGUAACGGAGGAGUUCGAAGGUACGCUAGAUACGGUCGGAAAUCGUGUUGAUAGUGCAUUGGCAUAAGCGUGCUUGACUGCGAGACUGACAAGUCGAGCAGGUACGAAAGUAGGACAAAGUGAUCCGGUGGUUCUGUAUGGAAGGGCCAUCGCUCAACGGAUAAAAGGUACUCUGGGGAUAACAGGCUGAUACCGCCCAAGAGUUCAUAUCGACGGCGGUGUUUGGCACCUCGAUGUCGGCUCAUCUCAUCCUGGGGCUGUAGCCGGUCCCAAGGGUAUGGCUGUUCGCCAUUUAAAGAGGUACGUGAGCUGGGUUUAAAACGUCGUGAGACAGUUUGGUCCCUAUCUUCCGUGGGCGCUGCAAGAUUGAGAGAGCCUGCUCCUAGUAC
This 1389-nucleotide ribosomal RNA is filed under the name metagenome. RNAcentral describes it as "bacterial LSU rRNA". It matches the Rfam family "Bacterial large subunit ribosomal RNA", at positions 1298 to 2684 of the family's 2925-position model. The record is from RNAcentral.